This 381-nucleotide ribosomal RNA is filed under the name Triticum aestivum (bread wheat). Its description in RNAcentral is "partial small subunit ribosomal RNA". The record is from RNAcentral. Lineage: Eukaryota; Viridiplantae; Streptophyta; Magnoliopsida; Poales; Poaceae.
AUGUCGUUACCUCCGUCCACCACGGGCGCCGCCGCCCCCGCCCCUGCACUCCACCGCCGCGCCCAGCCUUCUUCCCGUUGCGGCUGCUCCGCAUCGCAUCCACCCGCCGCCGUGGCACCCCAACCUGUUGCUUUCCCAACCCUUGAACCUUCACUGCUAGUUGACCUUCUCGCACAGGCCACCUCGACCUUCCUCGGAAGGUUGCUUCCAGGGAUCGGCCUCGGUGCCUCCAGUCGGCCGCCAUGGAUUCCGCACGGACAAGGCGACGUCAACCGCAGUAGGGAUUCCUGCGUGGCUGGCCUACUCAUAACCCCAUGGGAUCCGCAAGCUUUUCCUCCCACGUCCGUGCCUUGUCUUCCUGUGGGCAGCCGUUGCUGCUGA